RNAcentral lists this ribosomal RNA (699 nucleotides) under uncultured bacterium. RNAcentral describes it as "bacterial SSU rRNA". It matches the Rfam family "Bacterial small subunit ribosomal RNA", at positions 1 to 697 of the family's 1533-position model. The record is from RNAcentral.
AGGAGUUUGAUCCUGGCUCAGAACGAACGCUGGCGGCGUGGUUUAGGCAUGCAAGUCGAACGAGAAAGUAACCUUCGGGUUGCGAUUAAAGUGGCGAACGGGUGAGUAACAGGUGGGCAACGUGCCCCAAAGUGGGGGAUAACUCCGAGAAAUCGGAGCUAAUACCGCAUACGGCCUUUUUAGCUUUGGCUGGAAAGGUUAAAGGCUUCGGUCGCUUUGGGAUCGGCCCGCCCCCGAUUAGCUUGAUGGUGAGGUAACGGCUCACCAUGGCGACAAUCGGUAGCUGGUCUGAGAGGAUGGUCAGCCACACUGGGACUGAGAUACGGCCCAGACUCCUACGGGGGGCAGCAGUCUAGAGGCUUCGGCAAUGGGGGAAACCCUGACCGAGCGACGCCGCGUGCGGGAUUGAAGGUGUUAUCAUCGUAAACCGCUUUUCUAGGGGAGGAAUGCCCUGAUGGUGAAUCAGGGAGAGACGUUACCCUGGGAAUAAGCCCCGGCUAACUACGUGCCAGCAGCCGCGGUAAUACGUAGGGGGCGAGCGUUGUUCGGAUUUACUGGGCGUAAAGAGAGCGUAGGCGGCUGGUCAAGUCCGGUGUGAAAUCUUUACCGCUUAACGGAAAGAGGUCACCGGAAACUGCCCGGCUAGAGUAAGGUAGAGGCAAGCGGAAUUCCUGGUGUAGCGGUGGAAUGUGUAGAUAU